AGGCCCUUAUCGAAGCUACAGCUGCU
RNAcentral lists this non-coding RNA (26 nucleotides) under Cricetulus griseus (Chinese hamster). Lineage: Eukaryota; Metazoa; Chordata; Mammalia; Rodentia; Cricetidae. The record is from RNAcentral.